AACGAACGCUGGCGGCAGGCUUAACACAUGCAAGUCGAGCGCCUCGCAAGAGGAGAGGCAGACGGGUGAGUAACGCGUGGGAACGUACCCUUAUCUUCGGAAUAGCUCUGGGAAACUGGAAGUAAUACCGAAUGUGCCCUUAGGGGGAAAGAUUUAUCGGAUAAGGAUCGGCCCGCGUUGGAUUAGCUAGUUGGUGGGGUAAAGGCCUACCAAGGCGACGAUCCAUAGCUGGUCUGAGAGGAUGAUCAGCCACAUUGGGACUGAGACACGGCCCAAACUCCUACGGGAGGCAGCAGUGGGGAAUAUUGGACAAUGGGCGCAAGCCUGAUCCAGCCAUGCCGCGUGAGUGAUGAAGGCCUUAGGGUUGUAAAGCUCUUUCACCGGAGAAGAUAAUGACGGUAUCCGGAGAAGAAGCCCCGGCGAACUUCG
This 429-nucleotide ribosomal RNA is filed under the name uncultured bacterium. Its description in RNAcentral is "partial 16S ribosomal RNA". It matches the Rfam family "Bacterial small subunit ribosomal RNA", at positions 29 to 505 of the family's 1533-position model. The record is from RNAcentral.